AGCGAACGCUGGCGGCAGGCCUAACACAUGCAAGUCGAACGAACCUUUCGGGGUUGGUGGCGGACGGGUGAGUAACACGUGGGAACGUGCCUUUAGGUUCGGAAUAACUCAGGGAAACUUGUGCUAAUACCGAAUGUGCCCUUCGGGGGAAAGAUUUAUCGGCUUUAGAGCGGCCCGCGUCUGAUUAGCUAGUUGGUUGAGGUAAUGGCUCACCAAGGCGACGAUCAGUAGCUGGUCUGAGAGGAUGAUCAGCCACAUUGGGACUGAGACACGGCCCAAACUCCUACGGGAGGCAGCAGUGGGGAAUCUUGCGCAAUGGGCGAAAGCCUGACGCAGCCAUGCCGCGUGAAUGAUGAAGGUCUUAGGAUUGUAAAAUUCUUUAACCGGGGACGAUAAUGACGGUACCCGGAGAAGAAGCCCCGGCUAACUUCGUG
RNAcentral lists this ribosomal RNA (434 nucleotides) under uncultured bacterium. RNAcentral's name for it is "partial 16S ribosomal RNA". It matches the Rfam family "Bacterial small subunit ribosomal RNA", at positions 29 to 507 of the family's 1533-position model. The record is from RNAcentral.